Fukomys damarensis (Damara mole-rat) is the source of this 1157-nucleotide long non-coding RNA. RefSeq lists it as uncharacterized. The transcript has 3 exons. NCBI's taxonomy places the organism in Eukaryota, Metazoa, Chordata, Mammalia, Rodentia, Bathyergidae. The record is from RefSeq and is a predicted model, not a curated record.
UAACAAAACACCUAAGGACUGGAAAUUUGAAAAGAAGAGAUUUAUUUUGCUUGAAGAUAGAGGUGGAGAAUCUGAAGUAAGAUGCCAGCUCUAGCAAGGACUUUCCACCUGGGUCAAAACUCAUACUGUUAUGGCCUCCAUCUAGAUUGUCAUAGAUUCUAUCCAGAUGCACAUUGAGAUAGUGGAUUAGCCUACUGAUGAAUGAAUGUAAAAUGUGAUGUUGGGAGGUGGCUUUGGUGUGGCUCCAAAGAAUCAUUCUCUUCCCUCAAUGUCUUUCUGUGUCCCAUCACCAUGCAAUGAGCCAUUUCAACUCUGCAGGCCUCUCUGCCACACUGUCCUGCCUUGGAACGAGCCGACUGCAGAUAGAAGCCUCUACAAAAUAAUAUGAUUGCAGAAUAUCAGGAAAUAUGUUCAUCAAAAUAUCAGAAAAUAAUGGAAGUGAAUUAAUAAUGCUGAGCAUCCUAAAGUCAGUUCAUAAGGUUGGGGAAAAUCACAGAGAAGAGGACUGGCAGUAUGUUUGAGAUGCAGGAAGAUCAUAAAUUACUUCCACCCAUCAAGGGAAAUUGAAAAAUGUUGUUCAGCUAUGUAUUUAGGAGAAAAAGGAAAUGGAAAUUAUAAUUAUUAUGUAAAUUAUGCCCAAUGCCUAAGAAUUGUGCAAAUGAGUGGAUAAGACACUAUGCAUACAGCAGUUAAAAAAAUAAACAUGGAGUGAUGGUGUAGAAAUCAAUUGAACUGGGAUGUUGAGAUUUUUUUCAUGAAAAUGUAUGAGUGAAAAAAAUCUUAAUUUAAUUAGGUAGAAAGAGUAGGAUGUUUACUCCAUAUGGAAUCUAUACCCCCCCAACUGGAUACCACAACCAGGGAGUUUGUUAUGAAAGACAAAGAGUCAAAUCAAUGUGAAGAUCAAUAUUUGAAGGAAUUGAUGCUCAGAGUGGCUUCUUGUGUGUUCUUAUGGUGUAAUCACAAUGAUUCUGAGAAGAUUAUGAUCCAUUUAUCUUAAUUAUGUGAAAUAUUUGCAUUAUCUAAUAAAAUAUGAUAUAUUUGAUGCAAUUUUGAGGUAAAUAAUGAGCCUGUAAACACUUGUUUAUCCAAUGAAUAAGUGAAAGAAAAUACACAUUCCCUCACGACUACACUAGAAGCCUUUAUUUCAAAUAUGAUAA